RNAcentral lists this ribosomal RNA (209 nucleotides) under uncultured bacterium. Its description in RNAcentral is "partial 16S ribosomal RNA". It matches the Rfam family "Bacterial small subunit ribosomal RNA", at positions 524 to 733 of the family's 1533-position model. The record is from RNAcentral.
UACAGAGGCCUCGAGCGUUAGGCGGAAUCACUGGGCUUAAAGCGUGUGUAGGCGGAUCGUUAAGUACCUUGUGAAAUCCCACGGCUCAACCGUGGAACUGCUUGGUAUACUGGCGGUCUUGUGCAACCUAGGGGCGAGCGGAACAGAUGGUGGAGCGGUGAAAAUGCGUAGAUAUCUCUGGAACGCAAUGGUGAAAACAGCUCGCUGGG